This 91-nucleotide microRNA precursor is filed under the name Marmota monax (woodchuck). The record is from RNAcentral. Lineage: Eukaryota; Metazoa; Chordata; Mammalia; Rodentia; Sciuridae.
UAAGGGGACCAACCUCCUUGUUUGUCCAGGACUGAGGGGAUUCCCAGACAGCCCUGGGCAAACUGGGGUGAGUUGGUGGCUUUAAUUUAGU